This 500-nucleotide ribosomal RNA is filed under the name uncultured bacterium. Its description in RNAcentral is "partial 16S ribosomal RNA". It matches the Rfam family "Bacterial small subunit ribosomal RNA", at positions 30 to 523 of the family's 1533-position model. The record is from RNAcentral.
AUUGAACGCUGGCGGCAUGCCUUACACAUGCAAGUCGAACGGCAGCACGGGAGCAAUCCUGGUGGCGAGUGGCGAACGGGUGAGUAAUGUAUCGGAACGUGCCCAGUCGUGGGGGAUAACGUAGCGAAAGCUACGCUAAUACCGCAUACGAUCUAUGGAUGAAAGCGGGGGAUCGCAAGACCUCGCGCGAUUGGAGCGGCCGAUAUCAGAUUAGGUAGUUGGUGGGGUAAAGGCUCACCAAGCCGACGAUCUGUAGCUGGUCUGAGAGGACGACCAGCCACACUGGGACUGAGACACGGCCCAGACUCCUACGGGAGGCAGCAGUGGGGAAUUUUGGACAAUGGGCGCAAGCCUGAUCCAGCAAUGCCGCGUGCAAGAUGAAGGCCUUCGGGUUGUAAACUGCUUUUGUACGGAACGAAACGGCGAGCUCUAAUACAGUUUGCUAAUGACGGUACCGUAAGAAUAAGCACCGGCUAACUACGUGCCAGCAGCCGCAGUAA